AUUGAACGCUGGCGGCGUGCUUAACACAUGCAAGUCGAGCGGCAGCGCGGGAGCAAUCCUGGCGGCGAGCGGCGAACGGGUGAGUAAUGCUUCGGAAUCUGCCCUUCAGUGGGGAAUAACCAGUCGAAAGACUGGCUAAUACCGCAUACGAACUGAGGUUGAAAGCAGGGGAUCGCAAGACCUUGCGCUGAUGGAUGAGCCGAAGUCGGAUUAGCUUGUUGGUGGGGUAAUGGCCUACCAAGGCGACGAUCCGUAGCUGGUCUGAGAGGACGACCAGCCACACUGGAACUGAGACACGGUCCAGACUCCUACGGGAGGCAGCAGUGGGGAAUAUUGGACAAUGGGCGAAAGCCUGAUCCAGCCAUGCCGCGUGAGUGAUGAAGGCCUUAGGGUUGUAAAGCUCUUUGUGAGGGAAGAUGAUGACGGUACCUCAAGAAUAAGCACCGGCUAACUUCGUGCCAGCAGCCGCGGUAAAG
This 476-nucleotide ribosomal RNA is filed under the name uncultured bacterium. RNAcentral's name for it is "bacterial SSU rRNA". It matches the Rfam family "Bacterial small subunit ribosomal RNA", at positions 30 to 525 of the family's 1533-position model. The record is from RNAcentral.